RNAcentral lists this long non-coding RNA (1005 nucleotides) under Manacus vitellinus (golden-collared manakin). Its description in RNAcentral is "lncRNA (ENSMVIG00005005275.1)". Lineage: Eukaryota; Metazoa; Chordata; Aves; Passeriformes; Pipridae. The record is from RNAcentral.
AUGCCCCCCUCCCAAAAUCCAACUGCUGGCGGAGGACAGCGUGGGGUUGGGGAGGUUUUCGACUCCAGGCUGGGUCUAACUGCAGAUCUGAGCCCUGCCAAGGCUUCACCCCUGGCCUUGGUCACAGCCCUGCCCUGUGCUGUAAUUUGGAGGGGAGGGCAAGGGAUUUGUCACCCCCUGCCUCAGUUUCCCCGUCCAAACAAAGCCCGGGAGGGAAGGGCAGGGUGGGGAUCUGCUCCUCCUGACAUCCACCCUGGGGUGCCCCCCACAUCCCGCUCUGCUGGGAGGGAGGGAAAACAGCACCCAAAUGAGCUGGUUUUCCAUGAGACAGCACACAGGGGUCUCCCCCUUUCCCUGUGCCGGGCAAUGAGGGGAGGGGGGUCCCUGCAGGGCCAUGACAGAACCCUCUGGAAAGGGCUGGAAGCAGCAUGGCUCGGUGUUCCCAGCACACCCCACCCAUCCCUGCCACGCCGUGCUGCCGAAUUCCCCCUGCCAGCCCCGCCCCGAUCCACCGGGAACUGGGAAGGAGCAGGAGGAGACGCCGAUCAGCUGAGUCACUGCCCGGCUUUUCCCUGGCGGGAUUAUGUCGCUCACCUCCAUCGGAGGUGGGGAAAAAUCAGAAUAACCCAAAACAUCCUCUUUUUUUUUUGUUUUUUUUUUGUUUUUUUUCCCGCUGAUCCCCCCCCCCGUUUUAAGCCUUGGAAAGCGGAAUUCCAAAGGAUGACUCAGGCACACCUCGGACCGUGCCCUGUCUGUGCUGACGAGCAGCUGCUACAUUUGAGAUUCCCGAUGUCACUCCGGGGCAAUGAAAGGCUCCUGUGUCACCCCUUCAGGGCAAACCGAGCCACGGGGCUUCGAAAGAGCCUCUUCCCUGGGGGGAUUUAUCCCCGGGGAUCCAUCCCCGGGUUUCUUGCUGCACAAGAGCAGCAGCAAAUUAUUUUAAUGGUGAUGGGUGUCGUGGACAUGGAUUUUAAGGCUUCAAAGGGGAGAAAAAAGGGAGUUUAG